Molecule: ribosomal RNA, 243 nt
Filed under: uncultured bacterium
Lineage: Bacteria
Description: partial 16S ribosomal RNA
Rfam family: Bacterial small subunit ribosomal RNA
Source: RNAcentral
AACGGGGGGGGCGAGUGUUACUCAACAUUACUGGGCGUAAAGGGCACGUAGAUGGUUUCUUAAGUUUAAAGUUAAAUUUUUUGAAAUAGCUUUAAAUACUAGUAAACUUAGAGUUCAAUAGAGGAUAGCAGUACUAUUGGAGUAGAGGUAAAAUUCGGUGAUAUCAAUAGGACUAUCGUAGGCGAAGGCAGCUAUCUGGUUUGAGACUGACAUUGAGGUGCAAAAGCGUAGGGAGCCAACAGG